GUCGGCCCGUUCACGCCCUUCACGGGUAAAAAUCUCUUCUCUAUCUCUGUCCUCUCAAAUUCUCUCCCCCAUUGCAGCCUCUUGCAGGCCGGGAGGUUGCAUUCUGGCGCCCAGACGUGCCUAGGCCCUGCCCCUGGCAUUUUCUCGUGGCAUUCUACCUUUAUUUCUCACAGCGGUUUGGGAGGGCGCGCCCCAACACGUGAAGGAAUUCUUCAGGCACGCGUGAACGAAGCCAAAAGACGACUCCCUUCAGGUCUGGAAAAAGGAAGGUGAGUUGGUCUCAGAGAUGGGUUUGACUAUCUCCUCCCACGCAGGCUAUAUACGACUCCUCAUGUCGUUAGUGGAACAGGGAGGUAGGAAGGUCUCCGAAGCGCAGAUCAAAGCCUUGCUACAGGUGAUUCAAAAGGCUUUCCCAGCCUUCCCGGCCAAGGGGACGCUAGAAGUUGCGCAAUGGGACCUAAUCGGACAAUCUUUAAAGGACUAUCAAAAGGAAGGUAACAGAGUCAGGAAGACGGUAUUUAACACCUGGUCAAUUAUCAGAACCAUUCUAGAGGAUUUAGCUACUAGUACCUAUACUGCAGGGGAGAAGGAAUUUCCACAGACUCAGGAAUUAAAAAAGCAGGAUUUCAAAAGCACUGCUCCUGAGGAGACUGAUGGGGGAAGGGAAGGAGAGUGUUCAGAGUGGUCUAGGGAUCCGCCAGAGGCCCCAGGCUAUAGCUGGAAGAGGAGUAAAACAAAAGACUCAUUUGCAACUCCAAAGCUGUAUCCUUCCUUAGACACUCUGACCCCUCCCCCUCCCACUCCUCCACCAGACUACGGGUUGGCUUCACGAGUCUCCCUCGUGGCCUCCCCACCCCCACCUUGCUCACCUGAAGUUUCUAAGCCUUAUUCACCCAGGAAUGAGCCGAUCUCGCCUGCUCAACAAGGCAAGGAGGGCAUUUCUGCUUUCCCAGUCAGGUAUGUAGAGGACCCUGAGGAUGCCAACAGACGCAUUGCCCAGCAUAAGCCCAUAGACUGUAAGGUCUUGAAAAUGCUCAGAAGCAGCGUAGUGAAAAACGGGGCAACCGCGCCAUUCACACUAGCGCUCCUCAGUAACCUGGCUCAACAGACACUCACGCCGGCUGACUGGUACCUGGCAGCCGAGUCCGCCCUCAGCGGAGGUGACUAUUUGACCUGGAAACUGAAAUUCCAUGAUCUAUGUUCCCUGCAGGCCUCCGAGAACAGGCAGGCAGGAAUCAACGUGCCCUUUGAACAAUUGGUAGGGCAAGGAGAAUUCGAACCAAUUGCUAGGCAAAUCGCAGCCACAGAGCAGAUUUUUAACCAGAUAGCCAGCGCGGCUACUAGGGCAUGGAGAGCCCUACCCGGGAAGGAUUCAGAGCGCUUG
Molecule: long non-coding RNA, 1384 nt
Filed under: Monodelphis domestica (gray short-tailed opossum)
Lineage: Eukaryota; Metazoa; Chordata; Mammalia; Didelphimorphia; Didelphidae
Description: lncRNA (ENSMODG00000044910.1)
Source: RNAcentral